UACGGAGGAUCCAAGCGUUAUCCGGAUUUAUUGGGUUUAAAGGGUGCGUAGGCGGCCUGGUAAGUCAGGGGUGAAAGACGGUAGCUCAACUAUCGCAGUGCCUUUGAUACUGCCGGGCUUGAAUGCAGCUGAGGUAGGCGGAAUGUGACAAGUAGCGGUGAAAUGCAUAGAUAUGUCACAGAACACCGAUUGCGAAGGCAGCUUACUAAAGUGCGAUUGACGCUGAGGCACGAAAGCGUGGGGAUCAAACAGGAUUAGAUACCCUGGUAGUCCACGCCCUAAACGAUGAACACUCGAUGUUGGCGAUAUACGGUCAGCGUCUAAGCGAAAGCGUUAAGUGUUCCACCUGGGGAGUACGCCCGCAAGGGUGAAACUCAAAG
Molecule: ribosomal RNA, 380 nt
Filed under: uncultured bacterium
Lineage: Bacteria
Description: bacterial SSU rRNA
Rfam family: Bacterial small subunit ribosomal RNA
Source: RNAcentral